AUAAACCCCAUCUUCGUCAUUCCCGCGCACGCGGGAAUCCCGCUUUUCCUUGAAGUAUCAUAAGAAGAAAGAAGCGGGAUUCCCGCGUGCGCGGGAAUGACGUGAAAGUGA
Molecule: microRNA precursor, 111 nt
Filed under: Sphingobium boeckii
Lineage: Bacteria; Pseudomonadati; Pseudomonadota; Alphaproteobacteria; Sphingomonadales; Sphingobiaceae
Description: microRNA mir-233
Source: RNAcentral